ACUCUCUCCCUUCUCCCUCUAACUAAACUCGUAUAUCUAGUGUUUGUGCUGCGCAAAAAACGUGUUUACUCUCAGGCAGCGGAACGUGCGCGUGAAGAGGAAAAUAAGCUGUGGAUGAUCGCGAAUCGUGUACGAUGUUCUCGGAGACGAGAUAUAGAAAUCGCUUAUACGCCAUUAUGUAAGCUUCUUUACCGACUCUAUUUGCGGAACGGUCGUCCGUGUUCGAAGGUGAGAGGUACGCCGACCUUCUCUACAAUGUCCCACUAGAGGCGAGGAUCGAAUAGAGGCAGACCAGACACCAAGGCGGCCAGGGCCGAGAUACCGUUCGAUUUUCGAACGAUGACCAUUCUUUGCCUUCCAUGAUCGCAAACUGGUCACUGCCACGAGUCAAUUUUUUGAUUUUUUUUUUUUUGUAAUAAAGCGGAUGGACGUCGAUAAGUUUGUCGCUCGCCAUUUUAUCUCAUUUCUCCUAACGAAUGCAAUGAAUGUAUUAACGUGAAAUGUAAUAAAUCGAUGAAAAAUGGGUCGAGUUUAAUUUUUAAAAUUAAUAAUGUAAAAUUGUAAUGUUCUACGUAGAUCUUUCGUCAGUCAGAAAAAUCGUAAUAAAUUGAAAAUGUACGAAAUAAAUUACUUUGAGACAUAAUGUUAUUAGUUUCAAUUAAAGAAUGUAAUUUGUAGUAACUAUGUAAUGUGCCUUGCGAACCUGUUCGACUGAAAAACGAUAAGUCGAGAAGAAAGAAUAAAAUUUAUAUAUACAUGUAAAAAUAAAAGAUGUAGAAUAAAUUUUGUUAGCUUU
Long non-coding RNA from Apis cerana (Asiatic honeybee), 796 nucleotides. RefSeq lists it as uncharacterized. The record is from RefSeq and is a predicted model, not a curated record. NCBI's taxonomy places the organism in Eukaryota, Metazoa, Arthropoda, Insecta, Hymenoptera, Apidae.